Molecule: microRNA precursor, 205 nt
Organism: Oryza sativa Japonica Group (Japanese rice)
Lineage: Eukaryota; Viridiplantae; Streptophyta; Magnoliopsida; Poales; Poaceae
Rfam family: MIR812 microRNA precursor family
Source: Rfam
AAAAAGACAAAGCCUGGUUUCCGUGUCCAACGUUUGACCGUCCGUCUUAUUUGAAAAAAAUAUGAAAAAAAUUAAAAAGACAAGUCACGCAUAAAAUAUUAAUCACGUUUUAUCAUCAAACAAUAAUAAAAAUAUAAAUUAUAAAAAAAUUUCAUAUAAGACGGAAAAUCAAAAUUAAAUACGAAAAUCCAGUGUUUGUUUUUUU